GAUGAACGCUGGCGGCGUGCUUAACACAUGCAAGUCGAACGAGAAAUGUAGACGGAAACCUUCGGGCGGAAGCCUUCAUUUCGAGUGGCGGACGGGUGAGUAACGCGUGGGUAACCUGCCUCAUACAGGGGGAUAACAGGUGGAAACGACAGUUAAUACCGCAUAAGACCACAGCAUCGCAUGAUGCGGGGGUAAAAACUCCGGUGGUAUGAGAUGGACCCGCGUUCGAUUCGCCAGUUGGCAGGGUAACGGCCCACCAAAGCGACGAUCGAUAGCCGAUCUGAGAGGAUGACCCGCCACACUGGGACUGAGACACGGCCCAAACUCCUACGGGAGGCAGCAGUGGGGAAUAGUGCACAAUGGGGGAAACCCUGAUGCAGCGACGCCGCGUGAGUGAAGAAGUACUUCGGUAUGUAAAGCGCUAGCAGCAGGGAAGAAAAUGACGGUACCUGAGUAAGAAGCCCCGGCUAACUACGUG
RNAcentral lists this ribosomal RNA (478 nucleotides) under uncultured bacterium. RNAcentral describes it as "partial 16S ribosomal RNA". It matches the Rfam family "Bacterial small subunit ribosomal RNA", at positions 28 to 507 of the family's 1533-position model. The record is from RNAcentral.